CAUAAAUACUCAAGCAGAUAGUAAAUAACAAACCAAAGACAUAGAUAAUUUAUUUAUUCUUCUUCACAAAAACAUUUUUCAAAUCAUAUCAUUGCAGAAGAUUUAUUCACAUAAACUCAAACCAAAUCCAAUCACUCAUCAUUUUGCAUUUUGCAUACACCUUAAUGAAUUUAAAUUACUAUAAAGUACACAACACCCCUAAUGAUA
Molecule: long non-coding RNA, 207 nt
Filed under: Trifolium pratense (red clover)
Lineage: Eukaryota; Viridiplantae; Streptophyta; Magnoliopsida; Fabales; Fabaceae
Description: long non-coding RNA (TPRA_LNC005639)
Source: RNAcentral